RNAcentral lists this ribosomal RNA (486 nucleotides) under uncultured bacterium. Its description in RNAcentral is "bacterial SSU rRNA". It matches the Rfam family "Bacterial small subunit ribosomal RNA", at positions 28 to 507 of the family's 1533-position model. The record is from RNAcentral.
GAUGAACGCUAGCUACAGGCUUAACACAUGCAAGUCGAGGGGCAGCACAGUGUAGCAAUACACGGGUGGCGACCGGCGCACGGGUGCGUAACGCGUAUCCAACCUUCCCGUUACUCUUGGAUAGCCUUCCGAAAGGGAGAUUAAUACAAGAUGGUAUUCAAAUUCCGCAUGUUAUUUGAAUUAAAGAUUUAUCGGUAACGGAUGGGGAUGCGUGACAUUAGAUAGUAGGCGGGGUAACGGCCCACCUAGUCUACGAUGUCUAGGGGUUCUGAGAGGAAGGUCCCCCACACUGGAACUGAGACACGGUCCAGACUCCUACGGGAGGCAGCAGUGAGGAAUAUUGGUCAAUGGGCGAGAGCCUGAACCAGCCAAGUAGCGUGAAGGAAGACUGCCCUAUGGGUUGUAAACUUCUUUUGUUCGGGAAUAAAGUGCAGUAUGUAUACUGUUUUGUAUGUACCGUUCGAAUAAGCAUCGGCUAAUUCCGUG